UACACAUGCAAGUCGAGCGGAUGACAGGAGCUUGCUCCUGAAUUCAGCGGCGGACGGGUGAGUAAUGCCUAGGAAUCUGCCUGGUAGUGGGGGACAACGUUUCGAAAGGAACGCUAAUACCGCAUACGUCCUACGGGAGAAAGCAGGGGACCUUCGGGCCUUGCGCUAUCAGAUGAGCCUAGGUCGGAUUAGCUAGUUGGUGAGGUAAUGGCUCACCAAGGCGACGAUCCGUAACUGGUCUGAGAGGAUGAUCAGUCACACUGGAACUGAGACACGGUCCAGACUCCUACGGGAGGCAGCAGUGGGGAAUAUUGGACAAUGGGCGAAAGCCUGAUCCAGCCAUGCCGCGUGUGUGAAGAAGGUCUUCGGAUUGUAAAGCACUUUAAGUUGGGAGGAAGGGCAUUAACCUAAUACGUUAGUGUUUUGACGUUACCGACAGAAUAAGCACCGGCUAACUCUGUGCCAGCAGCCGCGGUAAUACAGAGGGUGCAAGCGUUAAUCGGAAUUACUGGGCGUAAAGCGCGCGUAGGUGGUUUGUUAAGUUGGAUGUGAAAGCCCCGGGCUCAACCUGGGAACUGCAUUCAAAACUGACAAGCUAGAGUAUGGUAGAGGGUGGUGGAAUUUCCUGUGUAGCGGUGAAAUGCGUAGAUAUAGGAAGGAACACCAGUGGCGAAGGCGACCACCUGGACUGAUACUGACACUGAGGUGCGAAAGCGU
RNAcentral lists this ribosomal RNA (717 nucleotides) under Pseudomonas sp. SH-1-102. RNAcentral's name for it is "bacterial SSU rRNA". It matches the Rfam family "Bacterial small subunit ribosomal RNA", at positions 50 to 762 of the family's 1533-position model. Lineage: Bacteria; Pseudomonadati; Pseudomonadota; Gammaproteobacteria; Pseudomonadales; Pseudomonadaceae. The record is from RNAcentral.